This is a non-coding RNA of Gasterosteus aculeatus aculeatus (three-spined stickleback), 273 nucleotides long. NCBI's taxonomy places the organism in Eukaryota, Metazoa, Chordata, Actinopteri, Perciformes, Gasterosteidae. The record is from RefSeq and is a predicted model, not a curated record.
UGAAGACUCACCACGAGCAUCAGGACAGAACUUCACCAUCACUGACUUCACAGCUGAACACAGUGGGAAUUAUUACUGUGAAGCCCAGAACGAGAUGGGAUGUAGUAACUCCACCUUAAUUCUGAUUAAUUCUUCAGGAAAAGGAGGCUGCACAUGGUCAACAACAACAACUGUUUUUGCAUCCAUAUCUGCUGUUUUCCUGCUGAUCAUCAUCCUCGCUGUCCUCUACAUCAGAUCCCACUGACCAACGUUGGACACCAGGAGGAAGAGGAG